UGUAUGUCUUCUUCUUCUUCUUCUUCUCCUUCAUGCUACAAUCAUU
RNAcentral lists this small RNA (46 nucleotides) under Arabidopsis thaliana (thale cress). Its description in RNAcentral is "ATSL131890". Lineage: Eukaryota; Viridiplantae; Streptophyta; Magnoliopsida; Brassicales; Brassicaceae. The record is from RNAcentral.